GGGGAUUUAGCUCAGUGGUAGAGCGCUUGCCUAGCAAACGCAAGGCCCUGGGUUCAGUCCCCAGCACCCCCC
This 72-nucleotide transfer RNA is filed under the name Rattus norvegicus (Norway rat). It matches the Rfam family "tRNA". Rfam says of the family: Transfer RNA (tRNA) molecules are approximately 80 nucleotides in length. Their secondary structure includes four short double-helical elements and three loops (D, anti-codon, and T loops). Further hydrogen bonds mediate the characteristic L-shaped molecular structure. tRNAs have two regions of fundamental functional importance: the anti-codon, which is responsible for specific mRNA codon recognition, and the 3' end, to which the tRNAs corresponding amino acid is attached (by aminoacyl-tRNA synthetases). tRNAs cope with the degeneracy of the genetic code in two manners: having more than one tRNA (with a specific anti-codon) for a particular amino acid; and 'wobble' base-pairing, i.e. permitting non-standard base-pairing at the 3rd anti-codon position. Lineage: Eukaryota; Metazoa; Chordata; Mammalia; Rodentia; Muridae. The record is from Rfam by way of RNAcentral.